Molecule: ribosomal RNA, 440 nt
Filed under: uncultured bacterium
Lineage: Bacteria
Description: partial 16S ribosomal RNA
Rfam family: Bacterial small subunit ribosomal RNA
Source: RNAcentral
CCUACGGGAGGCAGCAGUGGGGAAUAUUGCACAAUGGGGGAAACCCUGAUGCAGCGACGCCGCGUGAGUGAUGAAGUAAUUCGUUAUGUAAAGCUCUAUCAGUAGGGAAGAAAAUGACGGUAUCUGAGUAAUAAGCACCGGCUAACUACGUGCCAGCAGCCGCGGUAAUACGUAGGGGGCAAGCGUUAUCCGGAAUUACUGGGUGUAAAGGGAGCGUAGACGGGAGUGCAAGUCAGGAGUGAAAGGCGGUGGCUCAACCCUAGGACUGCACUGGAAACUGUACGGCUGGAGUGCAGGAGAGGUAAGUGGAAUUCCUGGUGUAGCGGUGAAAGGCGUAGAUAUUAAGAGGAACACCCAUGGCGAAGGCGACUUACUGGACUGUAACUGACGUUGAGGCUCGAAAGCGUGGGGAGCAAACAGGAUUAGAUACCCUUGUAGUC